UGGGGAAUAUUGCACAAUGGGCGCAAGCCUGAUGCAGCAACGCCGCGUGAACGAUGAAGGUCUUCGGAUCGUAAAGUUCUGUUGCAGGGGAAGAUAAUGACGGUACCCUGUGAGGAAGCCCCGGCUAACUACGUGCCAGCAGCCGCGGUAAUACGUAGGGGGCUAGCGUUAUCCGGAUUUACUGGGCGUAAAGGGUGCGUAGGUGGUCUUUCAAGUCGGUGGUUAAAGGCUACGGCUCAACCGUAGUUAGCCUCCGAAACUGGAAGACUUGAGUGCAGGAGAGGAAAGUGGAAUUCCCAGUGUAGCGGUGAAAUGCGUAGAUAUUGGGAGGAACACCAGUAGCGAAGGCGGCUUUUUGGCCUGCAACUGACACUGAGGCGCGAAAGCGUGGGGAGCAAACAGG
This 403-nucleotide ribosomal RNA is filed under the name Verrucomicrobiota bacterium. RNAcentral describes it as "Verrucomicrobia bacterium partial 16S ribosomal RNA". It matches the Rfam family "Bacterial small subunit ribosomal RNA", at positions 355 to 776 of the family's 1533-position model. The record is from RNAcentral. Lineage: Bacteria; Pseudomonadati; Verrucomicrobiota.